CCUACGGGAGGCAGCAGUGAGGAAUAUUGGUCAAUGGACGCAAGUCUGAACCAGCCAUGCCGCGUGCAGGAAGACGGCUCUAUGAGUUGUAAACUGCUUUUGUACGAGGGGAAACGCAGAUACGCGUAUCUGUCUGAAAGUAUCGUACGAAUAAGGAUCGGCUAACUCCGUGCCAGCAGCCGCGGUAAUACGGAGGAUUCAAGCGUUAUCCGGAUUUAUGGGGGUUCAAGGGUGCGUAGGCGGUCGGAUAAGUGAGAGGUGAAAUCCCGGGGCUCAACUUCGGAAUUGCCUCUGAUACUGUUCGGCUAGCGUGUAGUUGCGGUAGGCGGAAUG
Molecule: ribosomal RNA, 333 nt
Filed under: uncultured bacterium
Lineage: Bacteria
Description: partial 16S ribosomal RNA
Rfam family: Bacterial small subunit ribosomal RNA
Source: RNAcentral